AAUCAACGCUGGCGGCGUGCCUCAGACAUGCAAGUCGAACGAUUAAAGCUCUCUUCGGAGAGUGCAUAAAGUGGCGCACGGGUGAGUAACACGUAAGUAAUCUACCUUCGAGUGGGGAAUAACGUCCGGAAACGGACGCUAAUACCGCAUAACGCAGCGGCAUCGCAAGAUGACAGUUGUUAAAGAUUUAUCGCUUGAAGAGGAGCUUGCGGCAGAUUAGCUUGUUGGUAAGGUAACGGCUUACCAAGGCUACGAUCUGUAACCGGUCUAAGAGGACGGUCGGUCACACUGACACUGAAUAACGGGUCAGACUCCUACGGGAGGCAGCAGUCGGGAAUUUUGGACAAUGGGGGAAACCCUGACCCAGCAACGCCGCGUGAAGGAUGAAGUAUUUCGGUAU
Molecule: ribosomal RNA, 400 nt
Filed under: uncultured bacterium
Lineage: Bacteria
Description: bacterial SSU rRNA
Rfam family: Bacterial small subunit ribosomal RNA
Source: RNAcentral